Non-coding RNA from Electrophorus electricus (electric eel), 2231 nucleotides. NCBI's taxonomy places the organism in Eukaryota, Metazoa, Chordata, Actinopteri, Gymnotiformes, Gymnotidae. The record is from RefSeq and is a predicted model, not a curated record.
AAUACAGUGUAUGUAAAAAUGGGUCGAAACUGGAUACCUAUGUGAAUAACAUCAACAAGCACCAGGCUUUGUGUACACAUUGCGACAGUGAUAAGCCAGACUGCAAAACACCGCGAAAAGCGCGCCGUGUUCACGUCGGCUCAUUAGAGUGGCCUUGCUUUAGAAUUUCACGGCAAGCACAGGCUGAGUGGAAGCAGACUCAAAAACAACUCUCUGGAGCUUCACAGAAGACAUCUGAACAUCAUCAUCAUAAAAGCAGCAAGUUAUUAUCCUUAUUUAUGGAUAUGCAGGCUGAGCGUGUGGAACAGCGGUACUGGUGAGGCAGCAGGCCAUGCUGGGCACACUGGGGCUACAGAAUCUUACGCUGAUAUGGAGCCAGUCUGUCCUGAGGCACUACCACGAUUAUCUUAUAGACGGUACAAACAAGUGGACUGGACGACAGCGGGUGAAAAGUGAAACCAUUAUGUGUCUCAUGCCCUCUAGUGGCUGGCCGUAGUUCACCUUUUAACAACACCCAUUCCCAUGUGAAGGCGUUCCCGCUGGAUGGCCACAGACUGAUGGUGUUCCGCUGAAGGUGACAGGCCAGUCAUCCGCCCCUAAUGCGUCCGCGUCCGUGUUCCUCGUCACGGCUCUGCGCUCCAGCGAGGUGGCCACGUACUCCCAUCGCGCCAAGGCCCGACGCGUCUCCGCGACUUCGCCUGAGGCAGCGCCCGCUAAUCUAACGCCGCUGAUCGCUGGGCAGCACGUCGAUGGCAAGAUUGUAGUGACCAGUGGCCAUAAUGGGGUGUUAACGAUGAUUGAACAGACAGAGUGGACAAAAUGGGGUGGCCAUUGAUUGGGUCGGCUGAAAAAUACGAGGUCACUGUUACGUGGCAGAGACAUUAUUUGUCUCAUUUGUGCUAAGACAGUACUGUGUUUAUUUUGCCUGGGCUAACAGUCCCUGAAAUGCACAUAUGGUCCAGAGUAGAUAUCUGUCUAAUGAAACCAGGGAUGGAAGGGAAACUGGAUUAGAGGUGGCAGGGUACUGCCAUCAUUACAGUCAGGAUACAUUUGAUAGCAAAACACGCUCAGACGUAGGAACACAAGUGUGAUGGAGUGAGUAGAUCAAGGUGUGCCUGUCUUGUUGUGAGGGAGCGAUGAGGGACCGUAGCCAGUGACUCCUGAACAUAAAUCAAACACAGUGAAAGAUUUGCAAUAGACUGGCACAACGUAGCACACAGACACUGCUGCAUGUGCUAAACGCUGCAGCCAGAAGGACAGUUUGAAACCAUUUCUUCUCAACGAAGUUUCUCUGUCUUUCAAGGACUUUCAGUUCUUAUUUCAGAACUCUUUAUCUGCGUGUGGGAGAGAGAAAGAGAGAGAGAGAGAGAGAGAAAGAGAGAGAGUGUGUGUGCAUGUCUCAAGGAAAUUACAUUAUUGACAUCUAAACAUCGUCAUUAACUUACAUCCCCUAGUCACUGAUUGGCCAGGUAAAACUUUCUAGUCAGUUUGAUAAGGGGAGAUCACAUGCGGCCAUACUUGCACGUGCUUUUUUCGUAUGCCGCUCCAAAACUCAGCAAAUCGUCCUCGUUCUUCUUGCCAGAGCGUCCUCAUUAUCGCGCUCUACCGCACAGCUCACAUUUGGAAUUAUGUGCCCGUUCCUGUUAUGAAGGUAAUGGACAGACCAGCUCUCACACGCCUCCAUGUGCACAGACGCAAAUGCGUAAUUUGCAGCCGUGCUGAUGGUCUGAUACAGCUGACUGAACACCGAUCUUUGUUUAAAGCAGAAUAUAUAAUGGGAACUGAAGCAACGUAGUUGUACCAGUCAUUCUCCUUCAUCAUCUCUCACUAUCAUUUUUCAUUUAAAUUAAAGGGUACAUCGCCAGGGUGGAUCAAUUCACCUGAUGACUAGAAGGAGAAUAAUGGCCCUGAAUUAAAAUGCUUAACACUUCAAUAUUGGUUUGAAUUGCGAAACUUUUAAAGUGAGUUGCAAUAGAAUGAUAUAGUGGACUAAUAAGCGAUUAUAUCCCACAGGCUAAAACCACUGGUAAAGUUCUGUCAUUGUUCCAAAUGACCAUCUGGGAUGCCAUCUGGGAAAGGCAAAGUGUGCAAUGAAUUUAAGUUCAGGCAAUGAAAGUUUUGUACCUAAUGCAAACUUACUUUCAUUUCACUAACUGUACGUACACAAGACUUAUUAAAGGUCUUUGUGCAUAAAUUCAAACUUGCAUUUUAUUAAAAAUUCAUUAGAUUCA